ACUCAAAUGAAUUGACGGGGACCCGCACAAGCAGUGGAGUAUGUGGUUUAAUUCGAAGCAACGCGAAGAACCUUACCAGGUCUUGACAUCCUCCUGAAUAGUGUAGAGAUAUGCUAGGCCUUCGGGACAGGAGAGACAGGUGGUGCAUGGUUGUCGUCAGCUCGUGUCGUGAGAUGUUGGGUUAAGUCCCGCAACGAGCGCAACCCUUGAUCUUUGUUGCCAGCAUGUAAUGGUGGGCACUCUAAGAUGACUGCCGGUGACAAACCGGAGGAAGGUGGGGAUGACGUCAAAUCAUCAUGCCCCUUAUGACCUGGGCUACACACGUACUACAAUGGCCGGUACAGAGGGCAGCGAAGCCGCGAGGUGAAGCAAAUCUCAUAAAGCCGGUCUCAGUUCGGAUUGCAGGCUGCAACUCGCCUGCAUGAAGCCGGAAUUGCUAGUAAUCGCGGAUCAGCAUGCCGCGGUGAAUACGUUCCCGGGUCUUGUACACACCGCCCGU
This 499-nucleotide ribosomal RNA is filed under the name uncultured bacterium. RNAcentral's name for it is "partial 16S ribosomal RNA". It matches the Rfam family "Bacterial small subunit ribosomal RNA", at positions 899 to 1397 of the family's 1533-position model. The record is from RNAcentral.